UGAAUACGAGACGCUAAGGCGUCGAAGUAGUGUAUGUCAUACUUCCAAGAAAAGCUUGCACUGUCAUAAGUAAAAAAUGCCUGUACCAUAACCGACACAGGUGGGUAGGUAGAGUAUACUAAGGGGCGCGAGAUAACUCUCUCUAAGGAACUCGGCAAAAUAACUCCGUAACUUCGGGAGAAGGAGUACCUUAUUCUAUAAGGUUGCAAUAACAAGAUCCAAGCAACUGUUUAUCAAAACACAGGUCUCCGCUAAGUCGUAAGACGAUGUAUGGGGGCUGACGCCUGCCCAGUGCCAGAAGGUUAAAGAAGUCGGUUAGCAUUAGCGAAGCUGGUAACUGAAGCCCUGGUGAACGGCGGCCGUAACAAUAACGGUCCUAAGGUAGCGAAAUUCCUUGUCGGGUAAGUUCCGACCCGCACGAAAGGCGUAAUGAUUUGGAUACUGUCUCGGAGAGGGGCUCGGUGAAAUAGACUUGUCUGUGAAGAUGCGGACUACCUGCACCAGGACAGAAAGACCCUAUGAAGCUUUACUGUAACUUGAAAUUGAAAUUGGACUUUAUUCGCGCAGUAUAGGUGGGAGGUGUUGAUUAUAAUCUUGCGGGAUUAUUGGAGCCAUCAGUGAGAUACCACUCUUGUAAUGUUAGAUUUCUAACUUUGAAUCAUUAUCUGGUCAAAGGACAGUUUCAGGCGGGCAGUUUGACUGGGGCGGUCGCCUCCCAAACGGUAACGGAGGCGUACAAAGGUUUCCUCUGAACGGGUAGAAAUCGUAUCUAGAGUGUAAAGGCAUAAGGAAGCUUGACUGUGAGACCUACAAGUCGAACAGGGACGAAAGUCGGUCUUAGUGAUCUGACGGUACUGAGUGGAAAGGCCGUCACUCAACGGAUAAAAGUUACUCUAAGGAUAACAGACUGAUCUCCCCCAAGAGUUCACAUCGACGGGGAGGUUUGGCACCUCGAUGUCGGCUCAUCGCAUCCUGGGGCGGUAGUACGUCCCAAGGGUUGGGCUGUUCGCCCAUGAAAGCGGUACGCGAGCUGGGUUCAGAACGUCGUGAGACAGUUCGGUCCAUAUCCGGUGUAAGCGUUAGAAUAUUGAGAGGAGCCUUCUUUAGUACGAGAGGACCGAGAAGGACAUACCUCUGGUGUACCAGUUAUCGUGCCAACGGUAAACGCUGGGUAGCUAUGUAUGGAGUGGAUAACCGCUGAAAGCAUCUAAGUGGGAAGCCCACCUCAAGAUAAGUAUUCUCC
Molecule: ribosomal RNA, 1243 nt
Filed under: metagenome
Description: bacterial LSU rRNA
Rfam family: Bacterial large subunit ribosomal RNA
Source: RNAcentral